UAGGGAAUCUUCNNGCAAUGGGGGCAACCCUGACCGAGCAACGCCGCGUGAGUGAAGAAGGUUUUCGGAUCGUAAAGCUCUGUUGUAAGUCAAGAACGAGUGUGAGAGUGGAAAGUUCACACUGUGACGGUAGCUUACCAGAAAGGGACGGCUAACUACGUGCCAGCAGCCGCGGUAAUACGUAGGUCCCGAGCGUUGUCCGGAUUUAUUGGGCGUAAAGCGAGCGCAGGCGGUUUGAUAAGUCUGAAGUUAAAGGCUGUGGCUCAACCAUAGUUCGCUUUGGAAACUGUCAAACUUGAGUGCAGAAGGGGAGAGUGGAAUUCCAUGUGUAGCGGUGAAAUGCGUAGAUAUAUGGAGGAACACCGGUGGCGAAAGCGGCUCUCUGGUCUGUAACUGACGCUGAGGCUCGAAAGCGUGGGGAGCGAACAGGAUUAGAUACCCUGGUAGUCCACGCCGUAAACGAUGAGUGCUAGGUGUUGGAUCCUUUCCGGGAUUCAGUGCCGCAGCUAACGCAUUAAGCACUCCGCCUGGGGAGUACGACCGCAAGGUUG
This 551-nucleotide ribosomal RNA is filed under the name uncultured bacterium. Its description in RNAcentral is "bacterial SSU rRNA". It matches the Rfam family "Bacterial small subunit ribosomal RNA", at positions 355 to 896 of the family's 1533-position model. The record is from RNAcentral.